GUGAACGCUGGCGGUAGGCCUAACACAUGCAAGUCGCACGGCAGCACAGUAAGAGCUUGCCCUUACGGGUGGCGAGUGGCGGACGGGUGAGGAAUACAUCGGAAUCUACUUUUUCGUGGGGGAUAACGUAGGGAAACUUACGCUAAUACCGCAUACGACCUACGGGUGAAAGCAGGGGAUCUUCGGACCUUGCGCGAUUGAAUGAGCCGAUGUCGGAUUAGCUAGUUGGCGGGGUAAAGGCCCACCAAGGCGACGAUCCGUAGCUGGUCUGAGAGGAUGAUCAGCCACACUGGAACUGAGACACGGUCCAGACUCCUACGGGAGGCAGCAGUGGGGAAUAUUGGACAAUGGGCGCAAGCCCGAUCCAGCCAUACCGCGUGGGUGAAGAAGGCCUUCGGGUUGUAAAGCCCUUUUGUUGGGAAAGAAAAGCAGCAGGUUAAUACCCCGCUGUUCUGACGGUACCCAAAGAAUAAGCACCGGCUAACUUCGUG
Molecule: ribosomal RNA, 491 nt
Filed under: uncultured bacterium
Lineage: Bacteria
Description: partial 16S ribosomal RNA
Rfam family: Bacterial small subunit ribosomal RNA
Source: RNAcentral